RNAcentral lists this unclassified non-coding RNA (401 nucleotides) under soil metagenome. Its description in RNAcentral is "partial contains 5.8S ribosomal RNA, internal transcribed spacer 2, and large subunit ribosomal RNA". The stretch from base 5 to 120 matches the Rfam family "5.8S ribosomal RNA", at positions 40 to 154 of the family's 154-position model. The record is from RNAcentral.
GAUGAGAACGUAGCGAAAUGCGAUAAGUAAUGUGAAUUGCAGAAUUCAGUGAAUCAUCGAAUCUUUGAACGCACCUUGCGCCCUUUGGCCAUUCCGAAGGGCAUGCCUGUUUGAGUAUCAUGAACACCUCAACUCUCAUGGCUCGCCAUGAUGAGCUUGGACUUUGGGGGUCUUGCUGGCCUGUGGUCGGCUCCUCUCAAAUGGAUCAGCUUGCCAGUGUUUGGUGGCAUCACAGGUGUGAUAACUAUCUGCGCUUGUGGUUUUCCAUCAGAUAACCUUCAGUGAUGGAGGUUCGCUGGAGCUCAUAAACGUCUCCCCUAAGCGGGGACAGCCCUUUGAAUGUUUGAUCUCAAAUCAGGUAGGACUACCCGCUGAACUUAAGCAUAUCAAUAAGCGGAGGA